ACGUACGCUGGCGGCACGCCUAACACAUGCAAGUCGAACGAAGUAGCAAUACUUAGUGGCGAACGGGUGAGUAUAAUGUGGGUAUCUGCCUUUUGGUUUGGAAUAACACGGGGAAACUUGUGCUAAUACCGGAUAAGCCUUCACAGGGAAAGUUUUAACGCCAAAAGAUGAGCCCGCACUUGAUUAGCUAGUUGGUAAGGUAAUAGCUUACCAAGGCUACGAUCAAUAGCUGAUCUGAGAGGAUGAUCAGCCACAUUGGGACUGAGACACGGCCCAAACUCCUACGGGAGGCAGCAGUGGGGAAUCUUGCACAAUGGGGGAAACCCUGAUGCAGCGAUGCCGCGUGAGUGAAGAAGGCCUUUGGGUUGUAAAACUCUUUCGUCGGGGAAGAAAAUGACUGUACCCGAAUAAGAAGGUCCGGC
RNAcentral lists this ribosomal RNA (422 nucleotides) under uncultured bacterium. RNAcentral's name for it is "bacterial SSU rRNA". It matches the Rfam family "Bacterial small subunit ribosomal RNA", at positions 29 to 497 of the family's 1533-position model. The record is from RNAcentral.